GCAUGAGACCACGGGGACCUCGGUCCCUGCGGUAAAAAGGAGGCCUCUGUACACAAGCUUCCACCCUCGGAGGGGCCCGCGGCCCAUCAGCUAGUUGGCGGGGUAACGGCCCACCAAGGCUACGACGGGUAGCUGGUCUGAGAGGACAAUCAGCCACACUGGAACUGAGACACGGUCCAGACUCCUACGGGAGGCAGCAGUGGGGAAUUUUGCGCAAUGGGCGAAAGCCUGACGCAGCAACGCCGCGUGAGUGACGAAGGUCUUCGGAUCGUAAAGCUCUUUCGGCCGGGACGAAACCGCGCUGGCCAAUAUCCAGCGCCUUGACGGUACCGGAAGAAGAAGCACCGGCUAACUCUGUGCCAGCAGCCGCGGUAAUACAGAGGGUGCUAGCGUUGUUCGGAAUUAUUGGGCGUAAAGCGCGUGUAGGCGGUGAUGCAUGUCGGGUGUGAAAAGCCCUUC
Molecule: ribosomal RNA, 459 nt
Filed under: uncultured bacterium
Lineage: Bacteria
Description: bacterial SSU rRNA
Rfam family: Bacterial small subunit ribosomal RNA
Source: RNAcentral